Molecule: ribosomal RNA, 794 nt
Filed under: uncultured Pelagibacteraceae bacterium
Lineage: Bacteria; Pseudomonadati; Pseudomonadota; Alphaproteobacteria; Candidatus Pelagibacterales; Candidatus Pelagibacteraceae
Description: bacterial SSU rRNA
Rfam family: Bacterial small subunit ribosomal RNA
Source: RNAcentral
CGCCUAACACAUGCAAGUCGAACGAAGUAGCAAUACUUAGUGGCAGACGGGUGAGUAACAUGUAGGUAUCUACCCUUUGGCCUGGAAUAACACGAGGAAACUUGUGCUAAUACCGGAUAAGUCUUCACGGAGAAAGCUUUAUGCACCAUUGGAUGAGCCUGCACUUGAUUAGUUAGUUGGUAGGGUAAUGGCCUACCAAGACUUUGAUCAAUAGCUGAUUUGAGAGGAUGAUCAGCCACAUUGGGACUGAGACACGGCCCAAACUCCUACGGGAGGCAGCAGUGGGGAAUCUUGCACAAUGGAGGAAACUCUGAUGCAGCGAUGCCGCGUGAGUGAAGAAGGCCUUUGGGUUGUAAAGCUCUUUCGUCGGGGAAGAAAAUGACUGUACCCGAAUAAGAAGGUCCGGCUAACUUCGUGCCAGCAGCCGCGGUAAUACGAAGGGACCUAGCGUAGUUCGGAAUUACUGGGCUUAAAGAGUUCGUAGGUGGUUGAAAAAGUUGGUGGUGAAAUCCCAGAGCUUAACUCUGGAACUGCCAUCAAAACUUUUCAGCUAGAGUUUGAUAGAGGAAAGCAGAAUUUCUAGUGUAGAGGUGAAAUUCGUAGAUAUUAGAAAGAAUACCAAUUGCGAAGGCAGCUUUCUGGAUCAUUACUGACACUGAGGAACGAAAGCAUGGGUAGCGAAGAGGAUUAGAUACCCUCGUAGUCCAUGCCGUAAACGAUGUGUGUUAGACGUUGGAAAUUUAUUUUCUGUGUCGCAGCGAAAGCGAUAAACACACCGCCUGGGGAGUACGACC